This 379-nucleotide unclassified non-coding RNA is filed under the name uncultured Actinomycetes bacterium. RNAcentral describes it as "uncultured actinobacterium contains 16S-23S intergenic spacer region". The record is from RNAcentral. Lineage: Bacteria; Bacillati; Actinomycetota; Actinomycetes.
UCCGAGUUGACCCCGGCAGUCUCCUAUGAGUCCCCGCCAUCACGCGCUGGCAACAUAGAACGAGGGUUGCGCUCGUUGCGGGACUUAACCCAACAUCUCACGACACGAGCUGACGACAACCAUGCACCACCUGUGAACCGGCCGCAAGCGGGGCACCUGUCUCCAGGUAUUUCCAGUCCAUGUCAAGCCUUGGUAAGGUUCUUCGCGUUGCAUCGAAUUAAUCCGCAUGCUCCGCCGCUUGUGCGGACCCCCGCCAAUUCCUUUGAGUUUCAAUCUUGCGAUCGUACUCCCCAGGCGGGGCGCUUAAUGCGUUAGCUGCGGCACAGGAAACCGGAGAGGCCCCCCACACCUAGCGCCCAACGUUUACAGCGUGGACUAC